Molecule: transfer RNA, 72 nt
Filed under: bacterium
Lineage: Bacteria
Description: tRNA-Arg
Rfam family: tRNA
About the family: Transfer RNA (tRNA) molecules are approximately 80 nucleotides in length. Their secondary structure includes four short double-helical elements and three loops (D, anti-codon, and T loops).
Source: RNAcentral
GCCCCUGUAGUUCAAUGGAUAGAACUCCGGACUUCUAAGCCGGUUAUGGCGGUUCGAAUCCGUCCGGGGGCA